AAAUUUAUGAGCUACAUUAUUCCUAUUUCGAAAAGGAAAAAAAAAACGUUUAUAGACUAUUUUACAUCUAUUACUGAAUACAAAAUAAUACAAGCCACAGUAAAAAUCACACAAAAGGCUACUGCAUUUGAAAAGAACGGAAUCGUCAGGUGCUAAGCUAGUGAUGAAGCUAGCACUUGAUAAGCAAAGGCGAUCGCCUGUGUAGACUCUGCAGAAAAUUUUUAUUUUGGGCAAAUUGCUAGUCACCGGUGAGAGAUUUGUCAAAUAGCCUUUAGAAACAGGGGACAUGCUGGCGUGGCCAUUUUUGAGUCCCUUUUGAAAACUAGGCUCAAACAGCCUGUCUAGUUUAGCCCCUGUUUGAUUCUCAUUAAAUUACAUUCUAUUGUAUUCUAUUUUUCUCUCUCCUAUUUUCAACCACACAAUCUUUCAUAAAAUAAUAUUACACAUAAAUCAAAAAAAUUUCCUUCUUUUUCAACAACUCACUUUUUUAACAAAACACUAUUCUUCCCAUUUUCAUUACUAAAAAUUGGGGCCAAACAGGGGCUUAUCUAUUUCUCAAACAGGGCUCAAAACCAAUUAUCAUUUCUCUUCCCUCCCAUUUCUCUCUGUUUUCUUUCUACAUGACCAUUUCCAAAUCAUUUCAGCUUUCUCCCUUUCAACCCACCACUAACGGCCCCAGCCAACCGUGAACCGCCUUCAAGGUUCAGCUCACCGUCGUCAUCCGAGUCUCCAACGGUCCCUUCGCCUUGAUACCAUCGACGUCGAGCGAUUUCGAGCCUUCUCUUCUCUCUCUCUCUCUCUCUCUCUCGUUUUCUAGUCCAUUUUUAAGGUGAUAUUUUAUAUACUGAUUGGUGAUUUAGUAUUGUGAUUUGUGAAUAGCGA
RNAcentral lists this long non-coding RNA (882 nucleotides) under Olea europaea subsp. europaea. Lineage: Eukaryota; Viridiplantae; Streptophyta; Magnoliopsida; Lamiales; Oleaceae. The record is from RNAcentral.